RNAcentral lists this ribosomal RNA (994 nucleotides) under uncultured Sulfurospirillum sp. RNAcentral's name for it is "bacterial SSU rRNA". It matches the Rfam family "Bacterial small subunit ribosomal RNA", at positions 362 to 1374 of the family's 1533-position model. The record is from RNAcentral. Lineage: Bacteria; Pseudomonadati; Campylobacterota; Epsilonproteobacteria; Campylobacterales; Sulfurospirillaceae.
AUUUGCCAUGGGGGAAACCCUGAUGCAGCAACGCCGCGUGGAGGAUGACGCAUUUCGGUGUGUAAACUCCUUUUAUAAGGGAAGAUAAUGACGGUACCUUAUGAAUAAGCACCGGCUAACUCCGUGCCAGCAGCCGCGGUAAUACGGAGGGUGCAAGCGUUACUCGGAAUCACUGGGCGUAAAGGGUGCGUAGGCGGGUUAUCAAGUCUCGAGUGAAAUCCAACGGCUUAACCGUUGAACUGCUUGGGAAACUGGUAGCCUAGAGUGAGGGAGAGGCAGAUGGAAUUGGUGGUGUAGGGGUAAAAUCCGUAGAGAUCACCAGGAAUACCCAUUGCGAAGGCGAUCUGCUGGAACUCAACUGACGCUGAGGCACGAAAGCGUGGGGAGCAAACAGGAUUAGAUACCCUGGUAGUCCACGCCCUAAACGAUGAACACUAGUUGUUGCUCUGCACGUCAGGGCAGUAAUGCACCUAACGGAUUAAGUGUUCCGCCUGGGGAGUACGGUCGCAAGAUUAAAACUCAAAGGAAUAGACGGGGACCCGCACAAGCGGUGGAGCAUGUGGUUUAAUUCGAAGAUACGCGAAAAACCUUACCUGGCCUUGAUAUCCUAAGAAUCCUGUAGAGAUACGGGAGUGCUUGCUUGCAAGAGCUUAGAGACAGGUGCUGCACGGCUGUCGUCAGCUCGUGUCGUGAGAUGUUGGGUUAAGUCCCGCAACGAGCGCAACCCUCGUGUUUAGUUGCUAACGGUUCGGCCGAGCACUCUAAACAGACUGCCUUCGUAAGGAGGAGGAAGGUGAGGACGACGUCAAGUCAUCAUGGCCCUUAUGGCCAGGGCUACACACGUGCUACAAUGGAUAGGACAAUGAGACGCAAUACCGCGAGGUGGAGCAAAUCUAUAAACCUAUUCUCAGUUCGGAUUGUUCUCUGCAACUCGAGAACAUGAAGCUGGAAUCGCUAGUAAUCGUAGAUCAGCAUUGCUACGGGAAUACGUCCC